AUUGAACGCUAGCGGCAGGCCUUACACAUGCAAGUCGAACGAGUGGCGGACGGGUGAGUAAUGUCUGGGAAACUGCCUGAUGGCGGGGGAUAACUACUGGAAACGGUAGCUAAUCCCGCAUACCAUCAGAAGUGCCCAGAUGGGAUUAGCUGGUUGGGGGGGUAACGGCUCACCAAGGCGACGAUCCCUAGCUGGUCUGAGAGGAUGACCAGCCACACGGGAACUGAGAUACGUUCCCGACUCCUACGGGAGGCAGCAGUGGGGAAGAUUGCACAAUGGGCGCAAGCCUGAUGCAGCCAUGCCGCGUGUAUGAGGAAGUCCUUCGGGUUGUAAAGUACUUUCAGCAGGGAGGCGUUACCCGCAGAAGAAGCACCGGCUAACUCCGUGCCAGCGGCCGCGGUAAUAC
This 406-nucleotide ribosomal RNA is filed under the name uncultured bacterium. RNAcentral describes it as "partial 16S ribosomal RNA". It matches the Rfam family "Bacterial small subunit ribosomal RNA", at positions 30 to 526 of the family's 1533-position model. The record is from RNAcentral.